UACAGGGCCAUUGAGCUGUACCAUGGCAGGAUAAGAUGGCUGAACCAAGGAAGUAUGAAGGUGUUUGGGCUGGUGAAGGGGUCCAGAGUAGGGGUCAUAGUUGACACCUCAGAUGUUAACUGCACCAAGGACAGACUGCCAGAUCUACAGAGGAACCUCCUGUCUCUGAUAGAAGAGCAGCUCAGCUGUAAGAGUCAGCUGUACCUGAUGUCCUGUGGUACUGAGACCAGCAGCCUU
Coregonus clupeaformis (lake whitefish) is the source of this 237-nucleotide long non-coding RNA. RefSeq lists it as uncharacterized. Lineage: Eukaryota; Metazoa; Chordata; Actinopteri; Salmoniformes; Salmonidae. The record is from RefSeq and is a predicted model, not a curated record. The transcript is spliced from 3 exons.